CAUUUUCUUAUCCGCGCGUCAUAAACGAAAAACAGGAAUCGCUGAACAUUUUACAAUCGAGUUACAGCACUGAUGUCGCCACAAUCUUUCAAUAAGGUUUCCUGCACCCAGGUCUUAUUUCCUGAAGCCACAGACCUUCCGAAAUGGCUGCUCAGUGACACCACCCGCAGACACAUUCAAGAUUGAUUCCUUCAAUCACGAGUCCGAUGAUGGAUACCUUUUUGAAGGUGACUGAAGCCCCCAUUUUG
This is a non-coding RNA of Lepisosteus oculatus (spotted gar), 248 nucleotides long. The record is from RefSeq and is a predicted model, not a curated record. NCBI's taxonomy places the organism in Eukaryota, Metazoa, Chordata, Actinopteri, Semionotiformes, Lepisosteidae.